RNAcentral lists this ribosomal RNA (976 nucleotides) under Isthmomyces dissimilis. RNAcentral's name for it is "SSU rRNA". It matches the Rfam family "Eukaryotic small subunit ribosomal RNA", at positions 95 to 1082 of the family's 1831-position model. Lineage: Eukaryota; Fungi; Ascomycota; Dothideomycetes; Microthyriales; Microthyriaceae. The record is from RNAcentral.
GGCUCAUUAAAUCAGUUAUCGUUUAUUUGAUAGUACCUACUACUUGGAUAACCGUGGUAAUUCUAGAGCUAAUACAUGCACACAACCCCAAACUUCGGAAGGGGUGUAUUUAUUAGAUAAAAAACCAAUGCCCUCUGGGCUUUAUGGUGAAUCAUGAUAACUUAACGAAUCGCAUAGCCUUGAGCUGGCGAUGGUUCAUUCAAAUUUCUGCCCUAUCAACUUUCGAUUGGUGAGUAGUGUUCACCAAUGGUAUCGACGGGUAACGAAGAAUUAGGGUUCGAUCUCGGAGAGGACGCCCGAGAAAUGGCGUGCACAUCCAAGGAAGGCAGCAGGCGCGCAAAUUACCCAAUCCCGAUUCGGGGAGGUAGUGACAAUAAAUACUGAUGCAGGGCUCUUUUGGGUCUUGCAAUUGGAAUGAGUACAAUUUAAAUCCCUUAACGAGGAACAAUUGGAGGGCAAGUCUGGUGCCAGCAGCCGCGGUAAUUCCAGCUCCAAUAGCGUAUAUUAAAGUUGUUGCAGUUAAAAAGCUCGUAGUUGAAAUUUGGGCCUGGCUGACCGGUCCGCCUCACCGCGUGUACUGGCUCGGCCGGGCCUUUCCUUCUGGGGAAGCUCAUGGUCUUUAUUGACUGUGUGGGGAACCAGGACUUUUACUUUGAAAAAAUUAGAGUGUUCAAAGCAGGCCUUUGCUCGAAUACAUUAGCAUGGAAUAAUGGAAUAGGACGGCUUUCCUAUUUUGUUGGUUUCUAGGAGAGCCGUAAUGAUUAAUAGGGACAGUCGGGGGCAUCAGUAUUCAAUUGUCAGAGGUGAAAUUCUUGGAUUUAUUGAAGACUAACUACUGCGAAAGCAUUUGCCAAGGAUGUUUUCAUUAAUCAGUGAACGAAAGUUAGGGGAUCGAAGACGAUCAGAUACCGUCGUAGUCUUAACCAUAAACUAUGCCGACUAGGGAUCGGUGGAUGUUAUUAUUUUGACUCCAUCG